GCUGGCACAAUGGUUAAGCACUUGGCUGCUAACUAAAAGGUUGGUGGUUCAAAUCCACCAGCG
RNAcentral lists this transfer RNA (63 nucleotides) under Loxodonta africana (African savanna elephant). It matches the Rfam family "tRNA". Rfam says of the family: Transfer RNA (tRNA) molecules are approximately 80 nucleotides in length. Their secondary structure includes four short double-helical elements and three loops (D, anti-codon, and T loops). The record is from Rfam by way of RNAcentral. Lineage: Eukaryota; Metazoa; Chordata; Mammalia; Proboscidea; Elephantidae.